CCGCAAGGCUAAAACCCAAAGGAAUUGACGGGGGCUUACACAAGCGGUGGAGCAUGUGGUUUAAUUCGAAACAACGCGCAAAACCUUACCAAUCCUUGACAUAUGAAAAACCAGGGUGUUUACCCGCUCUGUCUCUUUUAUACAGGUGCUGCAUGGCUGUCGUCAGUUCGUGGUGUGAGCUGUUGGGUUAAGUCCCAGAACGAACGCAACCCUCCUUUGAAGUGAAGGUUUACCUUUUUCAAAGACUGCCAAGGAUAUCUUGGAGGAAGGUGAGGAUGACGUCAAGUCCGCAUGGCCCUUAUGAGUUGGGCUACACACGUGCUACAAUGGGAAUGACAAAAGGAGGCAACAUGGCAACAUUGAGCAAAUCCCAAAAAGUUUCCUUAGUUCGGAUUGUUCUCUGCAACUCGAGAACAUGAAGUUGGCAUCGCUAGUAAUCGUAGAUCAGCACGCUACGGUGAAUUUGUAUCUAAGCCUUGUACACACCGCCCGUCACACUCUGAAAAUUUUCAUGCCUUGAAGCAAAAGAAGUUCACCAAGAACACACAGCGCAAUUAAAAAAAAACAUCUUCCCUUUUUUUUUUUCUGUGUCUUUGUUGGAACCUUUUCUAGAGUUAGGGAGGUGAUUGGAGUG
Molecule: ribosomal RNA, 634 nt
Filed under: uncultured picoeukaryote
Lineage: Eukaryota
Description: partial 16S ribosomal RNA
Rfam family: Bacterial small subunit ribosomal RNA
Source: RNAcentral